GUGCUCGCUAUGGUAGCACAUAUAUUAAAAUUGGAAUGAUACAGAGAAGAUUAGCAUGGCUCCUGCUUAAGGAUGACAUGUAAAUUCAUGAAGCAUUCCAUAUUUUU
Saimiri boliviensis boliviensis (Bolivian squirrel monkey) is the source of this 107-nucleotide small nuclear RNA. NCBI's taxonomy places the organism in Eukaryota, Metazoa, Chordata, Mammalia, Primates, Cebidae. The record is from Ensembl.